Cucurbita maxima (winter squash) is the source of this 479-nucleotide long non-coding RNA. RefSeq lists it as uncharacterized. NCBI's taxonomy places the organism in Eukaryota, Viridiplantae, Streptophyta, Magnoliopsida, Cucurbitales, Cucurbitaceae. The transcript is spliced from 3 exons. The record is from RefSeq and is a predicted model, not a curated record.
GGAAGAAUCUGAUGGAACUGUUGUUUACGCUUGCUUUGCCGUAGCCAUAUACAGGGGAGCUAGCAGUGUCAUCAAGUUCAGUUCCAUUACAAGAAAAAGAGAAUGGAAAAUGGCCUUGCAGGUUAGUGGUUUGAGUUGUAGAACUCGUUUAAAAGUGACCCAAAAUUUCGCCAAAUUCUUGCUAAGGCUCGAGAAGUAUGGGCUCUGGUUGUAAAGAAGAUGGUCCCUAAAGCAAUGGGGGAGAAAGCAAGGUCAAACAUGGCCGGACAAAGACAACAAUCCGACAUCCGUGAAUGUUAGCUAAGUUAAAGUCAAACCUGCCUUUUUCGUUUUUGCAUUAAACACUCGAUGUUUAAAAGUCUGCGCUGCUAAUAAUGGGAAGCCAUUACUGCUUUGUGAGAUUACAGAGCUAAAUGUUCAUCAAGAUGUCACUUUCUUUACCUCAGCUUCAAAUUAGAAAUGGGUUUUGAAUUUUGCAA